UAUUAUGUCAGUCGUUUUAGACGCUUAAAAUUUAACAUCGCAUACCAACAGGUUGAUAGGUAGAUUCCAUGAUAGUAGGUAUAUUAUAGUUAAUUCUGAAAUUUUCAAUCCUGAAAACCUUGUGCUACUAUCAUAGUCCAGGGGACUUGACAAUAUAAAUGCAUAUUAUACUCAUCAUCAUCAUCAUCAUAUACUCACGACUGUAAUGUCAUGCGAAUCAUCCGCUUUUCACUGUUCAUUUGUACUCAUGUGAUAGGUCGCGAGCCCUAUCGUCGUUUUUGAAUGUGGACAAUGCACUUAGGGUACACAAACACAUCUAGAAUCUAAAAUCAAUCUCAGUGCGCGAUUCCAACUCGGACUUGGCCGGUUUCGGUACGCAUACUCGCAUUCUUUGCCGUAACCCACACCUUACUCUUUAGUUGAUUAAGUUUGCUGAAUCGAUUUUUCGUUGUUUAAGAACUUCAACGGUCGGCUGAAUCAGGUGGCCAUCUUGGUAAACGAUGCUCUUCAUGUGACUCCACACAUAAAAAUCCGAUGGGGUCAAGUCCUGGCCAAUUUGGCCAUGGUAUAGCCCUUCCGCAAUCUUCAAAAUCAAGAACACGUUCCCUUCGUUUCACUGCAGUCGAGAAACUAUAACUUCUUCGGUACCAGAUACCAGGUUCUCAAAUAAUUAAACAUGUUUUUUUUUUAUUUUUACAAAAAAGUUGCUGCAUGCUGCUUGUAGACUUUACGCUUAGCACAGUGUGUGAGGGUGAUGUCAUCAAUCAAAUACCAUUCAGUCAGAUUCAUUCCUUCUAUCCAAUUUGACAUGCUGAUCUCCACAAAGUUUUUGGCAAGGGUCUUACUGACAAGGAAUCCUUCACCUCCUAGGGACGAUCCCGAUAGUUGCAAGGACAUGCACAUAUUUUCACUCUUCGUGGUCUUUUAAAGACCCUACAACUACAGAUGUCACAUUCACAGUAAUAUAUUUUCCAUCUUCUUCUGAUUGUGAGGAGAUUUGAAAGCUGAAGUAGCUGGUAUCAUAAUUCGUUUGUAAAAGCCAUAUUUCCACACGACCCAAGGAAUUUUGAUAUGCGAUAUUAUAUUUCCGAGUCGUUUGUUAAGAACUUUUAUUUACUUUAUAUUUUUUGUUAACAGGAAGACAAUGUCGUCAACGUAGAGAAGGCUGGCGAGGUGAGGGUUCUUCUGCCACCAACUCCAUUGCCUGCGUCUGCGUGAGACCGACAUCGUCAGUAUCCCUAUCACCUCUUCUAGUAUGCAGAGUUACCCCCCAGGGGCGGGUGCGAGGGGCGAGGAUCGCGUGUGAUGGAUGGCCGCUGAUUCAUGCUGAUGUGGGCAUUUUGAGCACAACGGGUGUUCUCAGCAGGUGAGCCAAGCGGAAACGUCUCAUAAAAAUAAGCAACUUUUGGGAAUUCAUGUACUUAAUAAAUUUUUGCUGUGCAUACUCAUAUUAGUACCUACUUAACUAUUUUUUUAAUGGAGGGCAAUAAAUUUACGAAUUAUUGAAUAUGUUGGCGAUGUAAUAGUUAACAUUUUGUAAUGUAUUCACGGUUUAAAAUGGGGUUCCAAUUAUAAUUAUCCAUCAAUCCUAAAGAGCAAUCUGCCUUUAAAAUUUCAAUUCUGAUUUUUACUUUAUGAAUAUUAAUUGGAUUUAAGUAUAUAAUUGUCGUCACCUACUGGUAUAAUAUCUAGAAUACUACGAAUAUUGUAUGAUUAAGAUUAGACACGCUAAUUUUGUAUAGAAGGAGACGUCAGCUGUGACGCAUGGGACACAUCGUUGUUUGAUAUUUGUUCUGCAUUUUAAUUAAGCUGAAAUUAAACUUUUGGUAUUGUAACAAGAAUGAUGUCAAAGAUGUUUUCAAAAACACACUAAUUUAAAACUGAAAAAGGCAUUUUACUCAUGUAAAUGUACUAGUUUAAAGUGAUGUAAUAGGGGUACUUGUUACUUAGAGUCAUAAUUUUUAGUGAAAGAGUUCUGAUUGUAAAGGAAAUCAACUUUCAUGAGCUCCGUUAGGUGUGUUUGAUCUUUCAAUAAUUCUUGACUGCCUCGACGUAGAGAUACGGUUUUGGUAUCAUUGUUUAGCUUAACUCAAAUACUUUUAAAAUAAUAC
Molecule: non-coding RNA, 2111 nt
Organism: Plutella xylostella (diamondback moth)
Lineage: Eukaryota; Metazoa; Arthropoda; Insecta; Lepidoptera; Plutellidae
Source: RefSeq, a predicted model, not a curated record